AGGCUUGUAGCUCAGGUGGUUAGAGCGCACCCCUGAUAAGGGUGAGGUCGGUAGUUCAAGUCCACUCAGGCCUACCA
RNAcentral lists this transfer RNA (77 nucleotides) under Escherichia coli. Its description in RNAcentral is "tRNA-Ile". It matches the Rfam family "tRNA". Rfam says of the family: Transfer RNA (tRNA) molecules are approximately 80 nucleotides in length. Lineage: Bacteria; Pseudomonadati; Pseudomonadota; Gammaproteobacteria; Enterobacterales; Enterobacteriaceae. The record is from RNAcentral. RNAcentral also lists the same sequence under 1 other name.